RNAcentral lists this transfer RNA (75 nucleotides) under Aequorivita sp. RNAcentral describes it as "tRNA-OTHER". It matches the Rfam family "tRNA". From Rfam's summary of the family: Transfer RNA (tRNA) molecules are approximately 80 nucleotides in length. Their secondary structure includes four short double-helical elements and three loops (D, anti-codon, and T loops). Further hydrogen bonds mediate the characteristic L-shaped molecular structure. tRNAs have two regions of fundamental functional importance: the anti-codon, which is responsible for specific mRNA codon recognition, and the 3' end, to which the tRNAs corresponding amino acid is attached (by aminoacyl-tRNA synthetases). tRNAs cope with the degeneracy of the genetic code in two manners: having more than one tRNA (with a specific anti-codon) for a particular amino acid; and 'wobble' base-pairing, i.e. permitting non-standard base-pairing at the 3rd anti-codon position. Lineage: Bacteria; Pseudomonadati; Bacteroidota; Flavobacteriia; Flavobacteriales; Flavobacteriaceae. The record is from RNAcentral.
GCGUCAAUAGCUUAACGGUUAAAGCGUCUCACAAUCCAGUGAGAAGAUGGAGUUCGAAUCUACCUUGACGCUCAA